UACGAGAGGCCCAAACGUUAUUCGGAAUUACUGGGCUUAAAGAGUUCGUAGGCGGCGCAGAAAGUGGGGUGUGAAAGCCCUCGGCUUAACCGAGGAAUUGCGCUCCAAACUACCGUGCUUGAGGAAGCUAGAGGUGAGCAGAACUGAUGGUGGAGCGGUGAAAUGCGUUGAUAUCAUCAGGAAUACCGGAGGCGAAGGCGGCUCACUGGGGCUUUUCUGACGCUGAGGAACGAAAGCCAGGGUAGCGAACGGG
RNAcentral lists this ribosomal RNA (253 nucleotides) under uncultured bacterium. RNAcentral describes it as "partial 16S ribosomal RNA". It matches the Rfam family "Bacterial small subunit ribosomal RNA", at positions 524 to 776 of the family's 1533-position model. The record is from RNAcentral.